ACAAUACGUUUCGACAAUGCGUUCACUAUUGUUAUAUGACUAUGCGUGCAUCGCGUACUGCUGACACACAUACAAGAAGCAUGGAUUGAGUCAGUCAGUGAGUAAUCGCUGUAAAAGCGUGUAAGGGACGAACAUUCUUAUUGGCUCUCGUCCCGCCGAGAUUACUGACGUCGAACUGCUUGAUGCUUCAUCUACUUUCCUACUUUCCUUCGUCGACGAAUAAAAUCUCGCUGCUCACUCAGUCCACGUGUUACUUCCAAUGGAAAAACCAAUUUAUACGAGUUGUAGUUCAUACACGAGUCUCUUCAAACUUCAGAUUCUGUUUUGUUCGUAUUAUAAGUAAUUAUUAAUAGUAUAAAAUAAGAUAAAAUGUGGAAACUUGUGCGCAUGUGACACUUGACUUCAAAGAUUUUGUAUGGAUUACGAUAGUCCAUAGGCAUAUUUUACCGUAUUCAACAAAUUGUAGUUCCGUCUUUUCCCACGUGGGUAGUGGUAGCAUGACUAUCUUUCCAAGUUCCUCCACAAUGAUUUCGCACUGAACAGGUACCACAUACUAUAUAUUAUAUACUAAAGAGUGCCCUUUAUAUAUAUUUUGUACAUUUGAAAGUUUAAUUAAUAAAGAAACUCAUGUUCUCCUGAUACAAAAUCCAAUUUUUGGAAUUGCGACGUCGCGGUAGAAUUUAAUGCUACCUCCUAUGGUCUUAUGUUCUCCUGAUACAAAGUCCAAAAAUCCGAAUUUAUUGAAAGAAUUUAACGUUGUAACAGGAGAAUAUAAUGAGUGAAGUGAUGUCCUUUCCUGGAAUUCUGUGACGUCAUAAUUCCAAGAAUAUCUGAGCAUAAAAUUUCAAGCGCUGACAACUAAUGUAAUAGUGACCACGGCUAGUUUAUCGAGUUUCCUGUUUCGGAAUUAUAUAUACAGGUAUUUGACUGUACUCUUAAUUCGUGAUUCUAAUAUACUGUAAAACGCAAAGAAUAUCAGAUUAAUAAAUACCAAUUGCGCUCUA
Long non-coding RNA from Ceratina calcarata, 1004 nucleotides. RefSeq lists it as uncharacterized. The transcript has 2 exons. NCBI's taxonomy places the organism in Eukaryota, Metazoa, Arthropoda, Insecta, Hymenoptera, Apidae. The record is from RefSeq and is a predicted model, not a curated record.